UUUUAUUUAAGGGAAAGGUUUCUAUACUUUCCCUAUUGCAUAGAAGUUCCCCCUACCAUCCAGCUGUCCAAUUUGAUCAAGAGAGUCACUCACCGUUUGAUCUUAGAUAUGACGUUUCAAAGUAUUCUAUUUUUAGUUUUUUUAUACAAAUUGUAUGAUUAUAGAAUUUGGUACGUGCCUUCUUCUCAUUGGGGCACACCUAUAAAAAAU
Molecule: long non-coding RNA, 210 nt
Filed under: Amborella trichopoda
Lineage: Eukaryota; Viridiplantae; Streptophyta; Magnoliopsida; Amborellales; Amborellaceae
Description: long non-coding RNA (ATRI_LNC003646)
Source: RNAcentral